This 484-nucleotide ribosomal RNA is filed under the name uncultured bacterium. RNAcentral describes it as "partial 16S ribosomal RNA". It matches the Rfam family "Bacterial small subunit ribosomal RNA", at positions 30 to 507 of the family's 1533-position model. The record is from RNAcentral.
AUUGAACGCUGGCGGCAGGCCUAACACAUGCAAGUCGAGCGGAUGAAGGGAGCUUGCUCCUGGAUUCAGCGGCGGACGGGUGAGUAAUGCCUAGGAAUCUGCCUGGUAGUGGGGGAUAACGUCCGGAAACGGGCGCUAAUACCGCAUACGUCCUGAGGGAGAAAGUGGGGGAUCUUCGGACCUCACGCUAUCAGAUGAGCCUAGGUCGGAUUAGCUAGUUGGUGGGGUAAAGGCCUACCAAGGCGACGAUCCGUAACUGGUCUGAGAGGAUGAUCAGUCACACUGGAACUGAGACACGGUCCAGACUCCUACGGGAGGCAGCAGUGGGGAAUAUUGGACAGUGGGCGAAAGCCUGAUCCAGCCAUGCCGCGUGUGUGAAGAAGGUCUUCGGAUUGUAAAGCACUUUAAGUUGGGAGGAAAGGCAGUAAGUUAAUACCUUGCUGUUUUGACGUUACCAACAGAAUAAGCACCGGCUAACUUCGUG